RNAcentral lists this ribosomal RNA (398 nucleotides) under uncultured bacterium. RNAcentral describes it as "bacterial SSU rRNA". It matches the Rfam family "Bacterial small subunit ribosomal RNA", at positions 357 to 772 of the family's 1533-position model. The record is from RNAcentral.
GGGAAUAUUGGACAAUGGGCGCAAGCCUGAUCCAGCCAUGCCGCGUGAGUGAUGACGGCCUUAGGGUUGUAAAGCUCUUUCGCUAGGGACGAUAAUGACGGUACCUAGACAAGAAGCCCCGGCUAACUUCGUGCCAGCAGCCGCGGUAAUACGAAGGGGGCUAGCGUUGUUCGGAAUUACUGGGCGUAAAGCGCGUGUAGGCGGGCUUUUAAGUCAGGGGUGAAAUGCCAAGGCUCAACCUUGGAACUGCCUUUGAUACUGGAAGUCUUGAGUCCGGGAGAGGUGAGUGGAACUGCGAGUGUAGAGGUGAAAUUCGUAGAUAUUCGCAAGAACACCAGUGGCGAAGGCGGCUCACUGGCCCGGAACUGACGCUGAGACGCGAAAGCGUGGGGAGCAAA